RNAcentral lists this ribosomal RNA (495 nucleotides) under uncultured bacterium. RNAcentral describes it as "partial 16S ribosomal RNA". It matches the Rfam family "Bacterial small subunit ribosomal RNA", at positions 28 to 507 of the family's 1533-position model. The record is from RNAcentral.
GAUGAACGCUGGCGGCGUGCCUAAUACAUGCAAGUCGAACGCUGAAGGAGGAGCUUGCUCUUCUGGAUGAGUUGCGAACGGGUGAGUAACGCGUAGGUAACCUGCCUGGUAGCGGGGGAUAACUAUUGGAAACGAUAGCUAAUACCGCAUGACAACAGUUAUUGCAUGAUAACUGUUUAAAAGGGGCAACUGCUCCACUACCAGAUGGACCUGCGUUGUAUUAGCUAGUUGGUGAGGUAACGGCUCACCAAGGCGACGAUACAUAGCCGACCUGAGAGGGGGAUCGGCCACACUGGGACUGAGACACGGCCCAGACUCCUACGGGAGGCAGCAGUAGGGAAUCUUCGGCAAUGGACGGAAGUCUGACCGAGCAACGCCGCGGGAGUGAAGAAGGGUGUCGGAUCGUAAAGCUCUGUUGUAAGAGAAGAACGAGUGUGAGAGUGGAAAGUUCACACUGUGACGGUAUCUUACCAGAAAGGGACGGCUAACUACGUG